AAUGAACGCUGGCGGCAUGCCUAACACAUGCAAGUCGAACGAAGCUUUCGGGUUUAGUGGCGCACGGGUGCGUAACGCGUGGGAAUCUGCCCCUUGGUUCGGAAUAACAGUUGGAAACGACUGCUAAUACCGGAUGAUGACGUAAGUCCAAAGAUUUAUCGCCGAGGGAUGAGCCCGCGUAGGAUUAGGUAGUUGGUGUGGUAAAGGCGCACCAAGCCGACGAUCCUUAGCUGGUCUGAGAGGAUGAUCAGCCACACUGGGACUGAGACACGGCCCAGACUCCUACGGGAGGCAGCAGUGGGGAAUAUUGGACAAUGGGCGAAAGCCUGAUCCAGCAAUGCCGCGUGAGUGAUGAAGGCCUUAGGGUUGUAAAGCUCUUUUACCCGGGAUGAUAAUGACAGUACCGGGAGAAUAAGCUCCGGCUAACUCCGUGCCAGCAGCCGCGGUAAUACGGAGGGAGCUAGCGUUAUUCGGAAUUACUGGGCGUAAAGCGCACGUAGGCGGCUUUGUAAGUAAGAGGUGAAAGCCCAGAGCUCAACUCUGGAAUUGCCUUUUAGACUGCAUCGCUUGAAUCAUGGAGAGGUCAGUGGAAUUCCGAGUGUAGAGGUGAAAUUCGUAGAUAUUCGGAAGAACACCAGUGGCGAAGGCGGCUGACUGGACAUGUAUUGACGCUGAGGUGCGAAAGCGUGGGGAGCAAACAGG
This 702-nucleotide ribosomal RNA is filed under the name uncultured Sphingomonas sp. Its description in RNAcentral is "bacterial SSU rRNA". It matches the Rfam family "Bacterial small subunit ribosomal RNA", at positions 28 to 776 of the family's 1533-position model. The record is from RNAcentral. Lineage: Bacteria; Pseudomonadati; Pseudomonadota; Alphaproteobacteria; Sphingomonadales; Sphingomonadaceae.